CUCCUGCCAAGUGGCUUGAAAAAGCGAUACCAUGCUUUUCAAAGUGAGCACUGUGUGGUUUACCCUUGUACGCGAUCUGAUUAGAGCCCACAAUGUCUUCUAAAUGACCUUACAAGUUUUGCGUGUGUGCGGCUUUUUCAAAAGUUUCCCUCUCUUUCCCACAAACCAUCUGGCUUGCCAGGUUAAUUAUGGCUGAAAUGAAUUCAGGAGCUCGUGUGCUUUGUUGCUUGUUUUUCCUCUGAAAUGCUUUGAUUUCAAUGCAGCCACAACAUCAUAGAGUGUACGCCAAUUCCACGAAAAAGUUGUUCCGCCCCCUCUCUAAUUGCUGAUUGUGUUAUCAAAGAGAGCUAAUGUAAAGGACCACAGAAAAAAAAAAAAAACAAAACUUCAAACACCCUGGCCUGGAGGGUUUUGUUUUGAAAAGUGUGUCACAAGUUCCACAUCGAGCUUAGAUGUUCAGUUAGGGUGGCCUCAGGCCCCCCACACAAAUGACACGUUUUGUAAUUCUGCAAAUCGGCCACCCUUAUGUCACGUAACACGGAAGGAGAUCACGCUCCAGCUACAUCUCACCAUCUUGCCAAUCAUCAUCACAUAGGGACCCAGCUCAUGAGCGGGGGAUCCUGGAGACGCAGAACCAUGCCGACAGAAAAUAUGAGGAUGGCCAUGAGGUCUGUGAUGUUCCAAUACUCCUGAAGCCACACCUUGACCUUCUGUAACAACUUCCCUGGCUCUGACAUAAGGAUCUAGAAGAGGGUUGGAGAGGAAUUAGAUCUGGGAAGGGAGAUCGCAGGAGGAUCCUAAAAUGCGUGAGAAAAGAAUUGCAGAUUUUGUCCCAGUUUUCCUGCAUCUGCUCAGUUUUCAUGAAGAUGAAGAUGGUCUGUUCAAAACUUAUUCGCCGGCCCUCGUGACUUAGCUACGUAUUUCCUGGAAUCGAGGGCCUACACAAAACAUCGCACGCACAACUGAGUUGAGGGAUGUCUUUGAGGGCUAUUGGUGAAUUACCCUUCCAAACAAUAAUCGCUCUUCCUCCUUCUCUUCGUCUUUCAUAUGCCAUCAAGAGUCUUCAAUAAAGAUUGUUUAAAGGGCAAGUUAACCUACGUUUUUUUAAGAAUACCUGUUAUGUGCCACCACUAAUCAAAAACAGUAUCCUGGUCAAUAUUGUGUACAUGGAAUAACAAUUCAUCCAUCUCUGUCAAUCACAAAGGGCCGCCGCUUGGGGCAAUCCCACCCUCUGCUGGUGACCGAAAUUAACGUCAGAACUACCCCCCAAAUCCUGCCUAUGACAUGACCCAAACCCGGCAAAUAGGUUCGUAGACUCCCACAGUAUUCUGCGGUAACGUGACUUGUGUUUUCCUUAUGUUAAGAUGUAGUUCUUAGUAUUUUGUUGUUGUUGUUCAUUGUUUGGGGUGCCUUGAAUGGAUUAAUUGGAUUUAGAUUAUUUUUUAAGGGCAAUAUUGAUUUGGUUUGAUUUGGUUUUAGUCCGACGAUUGAGAACAAUCAGUUCAAAAACCAAGGUUCCGCUGCAUAUUAAAAAAAAAAUAAAAAAAUGAGCAUUAUUACCUUUCGAAUGGAGAUAUUGGUGUUAUACAGCCCUACUAUUUGAUCAUACAAGUAAUCUUUAUUUAUUCUUAAGUAUCUGGCGGUGCAUUUCUACAGUGAGAAGCCGGGACAAAACUGCAAAUGUGCCCUAUAAGAGCAGGUGUCUUGUAGGUCAUGUCCACAUAAACACAGGCAUUUUGGUUUUUAAACUAAAUAUUUUUCUCUCCCCCUCCUACUUACUAAAUAUAAACUACACAUACUCUGCAUCACAUUUUUACUUGUAUUUUUUUUAUUCCUGUUUUUAAGUUUUGACAAGACUAACUACUUGACUGCCCUUUUCCUUCACCGAAAUACUGACUCUCUGGGAAUUUCAUUCUUCUGCUUUCUGAUUGGUUCAAAUUGGUUUGUGUUUAUAUUGCUCCCUGCUGUUUUGAUGUGCAUUUGGCAUCCUGUAAAUGUGUUUUCACUAAUAGAGAGAUUGAAAUUAGUGUGGAAAGUACAUUUUUAUUGAUUCAUAUACCUGACUGUGUAUGGACAUAACCCAAACCAUUUUUUCUUCUUGGGUCACAUGUGCAAUUGUCCAUUUAUUUAUGUCGGCUUGCUGGCUGUCCUCAAUGCAGAUGGGAAAUAGUUAAAGUGGUGCUGAGAGGUGCUCGACUUCAAUGCAAUCAGUUAAAUGGACAAUAUAAGAUCCAGGUUGUGAAUUACAAAUCAAUUUCCACUCUUGAUUUCUGUGCACAAACUGGAUCCUGAUAUAUCUCCUGAACUGAUUAGAUUGAACUGGAAAAAGUCCCAAGUGCUGUCUGGCAUCCAAGUCUAUAAACGCCGAUGGAGCGACUCUGUGGCUAUGAGAAAGUCCUCGCGUAGACUCUGGAUGAUUUAAAAUGUGCAGCAGCAGGCACGCACAGUUACAUAAAUGCAAAUCCCCGGGCCUGCCCAUGCUCGGCGGCCCACAUGCGGAGUGGUCCGCUGCAGCAAGCCGUCACCAGAAGGAAAGCGGGAGAGGCAGCUGUCGGCUAGCAUUGUACUGUACCUCAUCUCGGAGAGAGGGAAGGAAAGAGCACGUGGGGAGUAUUGGAAGCGAUAACAAGAGGGACCAACGGGGUGACGGGGAAAGGCAGAGGAGGGAAUCGAUAGAAGGAGAAACAUUCACGAGGAAAACCCACAAGAGACGCUACAACUCCACGACCGAUGUCUUGGAUUCGACAACGAGAAACGGGUAAUGUUGUGUGCGUUUUGAGAUUUGUCCUUGUGAGUGUGUGAGUACAAAGAAUUCUCAUUGCAGGCAGAAUGAAACUGCACUCGUUGUGGACAUGACUACUUCAUGUGUAAAUAUGUGCACAGGUUCUGAGAUGCAGGGCUGAGGCUUCUCGGGCUCUUCUUCCUCCUUCUCCUGCAAGUAGGCCUCCUGGUCCUGAGGCAUGUACGACAUCUCGUCCUUGUUCUUGAACUCCAGGCUCAGGAUAGACGGCGGCAGGAGGAGACCCAGGA
This is a long non-coding RNA of Syngnathoides biaculeatus (alligator pipefish), 3030 nucleotides long. RefSeq lists it as uncharacterized. The transcript has 4 exons. The record is from RefSeq and is a predicted model, not a curated record. Lineage: Eukaryota; Metazoa; Chordata; Actinopteri; Syngnathiformes; Syngnathidae.